RNAcentral lists this ribosomal RNA (506 nucleotides) under uncultured bacterium. RNAcentral's name for it is "partial 16S ribosomal RNA". It matches the Rfam family "Bacterial small subunit ribosomal RNA", at positions 29 to 523 of the family's 1533-position model. The record is from RNAcentral.
AUUGAACGCUGGCGGCAGGCCUAACACAUGCAAGUCGGACGGUAGCACAGAGGAGCUUGCUCCUUGGGUGACGAGUGGCGGACGGGUGAGUAAUGUCUGGGGAUCUGCCCGAUAGAGGGGGAUAACCACUGGAAACGGUGGCUAAUACCGCAUAACGUCGCAAGACCAAAGAGGGGGACCUUCGGGCCUCUCACUAUCGGAUGAACCCAGAUGGGAUUAGCUAGUAGGCGGGGGAAUGGCCCACCUAGGCGACGAUCCCUAGCUGGUCUGAGAGGAUGACCAGCCACACUGGAACUGAGACACGGUCCAGACUCCUACGGGAGGCAGCAGUGGGGAAUAUUGCACAAUGGGCGCAAGCCUGAUGCAGCCAUGCCGCGUGUAUGAAGAAGGCCUUCGGGUUGUAAAGUACUUUCAGCGGGGAGGAAGGCGGUGAGGUUAAUAACCUUGCCGAUUGACGUUACCCGCAGAAGAAGCACCGGCUAACUCCGUGCCAGCAGCCGCAGUAA